GAUGAACGCUAGCGGCAGGCCUAAUACAUGCAAGUCGAACGGGAUUGAGGAGCUUGCUCCUCAUGAGAGUGGCGCACGGGUGCGUAACACGUAUGUAACCUACCUUAAUCAGGGGAAUAGCCUCUCGAAAGAGAGAUUAAGACCGCAUAAAAUCACACUAUGGCAUCAUAGAAUGAUCAAAUAUUUAUAGGAUUAAGAUGGGCAUGCGGAACAUUAGCUAGUUGGUAAGGUAACGGCUUACCAAGGCUACGAUGUUUAGGGGAUCUGAGAGGAUGGCCCCCCACACUGGUACGGAGACACGGACCAGACUCCUACGGGAGGCAGCAGUAAGGAAUAUUGGUCAAUGGGCGGAAGCUUGAACCAGCCAUGCCGCGUGCAGGAAGACGGCCCUACGGGUUGUAAACUGCUUUUGUACCGGAAUAAACCUACUUACGUGUAAGUAGCUGAAUGUACGGUAAGAAUAAGGAUCGGCUAACUCCGUGCCAGCCGCCGCGGUAA
This 498-nucleotide ribosomal RNA is filed under the name uncultured bacterium. RNAcentral describes it as "partial 16S ribosomal RNA". It matches the Rfam family "Bacterial small subunit ribosomal RNA", at positions 28 to 523 of the family's 1533-position model. The record is from RNAcentral.